RNAcentral lists this ribosomal RNA (421 nucleotides) under uncultured Cryptanaerobacter sp. Its description in RNAcentral is "bacterial SSU rRNA". It matches the Rfam family "Bacterial small subunit ribosomal RNA", at positions 965 to 1382 of the family's 1533-position model. The record is from RNAcentral. Lineage: Bacteria; Bacillati; Bacillota; Clostridia; Eubacteriales; Desulfotomaculaceae.
GAACCUUUACCAGGGUCUUGACAUCUCUGACGCAUAUGAAGUAUGUUUUUCUGGCUUCGGUCAGACAGAGAGACAGGUGGUGCAUGGUUGUCGUCAGCUCGUGUCGUGAGAUGUUGGGUUAAGUCCCGCAACGAGCGCAACCCCUACGUUUAGUUGCUAACGUGUAACGAUGAGCACUCUAGGCGGACUGCCGUUGACAAAACGGAGGAAGGUGGGAUGACGUCAAAUCAUCAUGCCCCUUAUGUUCUGGGCUACACACGUGCUACAAUGGCCGGUACAAAGGGACGCAAAGCCGCGAGGUGGAGCAAAUCCGAUAAAAGCCGGUCUCAGUUCGGAUUGCAGGCUGCAAUUCGCCUGCAUGAAGUCGGAAUCGCUAGUAAUCGCAGGUCAGCAUACUGCGGUGAAUACGUUCCCGGGCCUU